Molecule: long non-coding RNA, 1201 nt
Filed under: Mytilus galloprovincialis (Mediterranean mussel)
Lineage: Eukaryota; Metazoa; Mollusca; Bivalvia; Mytilida; Mytilidae
Source: RNAcentral
CAUGUACAUGUAUAUACCAAUCUAAGUUAGUGUAUAUCUUGUUUCUCGUCUUACUUUACAGUAGAGCUACUUUGAUAGAUCAGGUUGACUGAUAAGCUGUCUAUAUAAAGUAAUGGGAACAAUGCAUGGAAUGAAGACAUCACCAAGUCACCGUAUGCAACAUUUAAAAAGACAUCCUGAGCUUAUCAUAUAGUCAUCACCUACCCACCAACACGGUGUGAGCUCUGGUUUCCGCGUAUUUAUAGAUUAUAGAUCGGUUACAAGUCCAACACGCAAGUUACGUAAAGGAAAGCUCUCUGACUCGCAACAAUAGACCGGAAUGACUUUACGAUCAUCCGCUGUAAAAGGGACAAAAAAAUACAGAUCCGAGAGUAAUCGCAGUUACUGACAGCUAGUUCAAAGCCAAUAAAAACUAAUACAAAAAUCAUGUAUCUAAGACAAAUAUGUCAAUCAGUGCAAAUCCACAUCCAGUGGUUUUAGUAUAAAGACGUUGUUAACAAUAAGAGAAGCAUAGGUAACAACAGAUUGUAGUACCUUGAUGUGUAAAACAAUGAUAUUUGAUAUGGUUUUAAGUUACUGAUAACAAAAUUACUAUUUAUACCAAUGAGAACAAUAUUCAAAAAAUAUUUUUAUAGUGUUUGAUUGGUAUUGAAAGGACUGCUAAGUUUGCUGCCCUGAUCAUUUUUAAUUUACAUGCAUUCAGUUUCUUUUACAUUAUUAUUGAUAAAUACUACAUUGCAGAAGAAGUGGCAAUAUAUCUUUAAGUGAAAGAUAUUGUUUGUGACCUUAGGGAAAUUUAUUUGGAUAUGCCGAUUAUGGUCUCAUUGAGAUUUACCAGACCUUCAUUCAAUUUCAGCACAUUUUUUACGUUCCAUUUAUGGACUUUAUGCUGUUCGUUCUGUGCGUCCGUUCGUUCUUCCGUUCAUCGGCCUGUUUGGCUUCAGGUUAAAGUUUUUUGGUAAAGGUAGUUUUUGAUGAAGUUGCAGUCUAAUCAAUUUGAAACACAGUACACAUAUUCCAUAUUACAAAUUGUGACUUGGAUGGAGAGUUGUCUCAUUGGCACUCAUAACACACCUUCUUAUAUCUAUAUAAUCUUUUGAUCGGUUUAAUUGGGGUCUUGAGCUGGCAUGUCAGUUACUGCUAGUAGUUUAAUUUAUGAAUUAGUUUCAUUUUGCGUAGUUUUUUUUGUUGGUACCUAUUC